GUGUUGUAUGAAAGGAGAGAAGGUCAGCACACCCUUUGGCAAAGAUGGAAGAGGUCUUUGGCCUAAUAACGUGCAGACAGUUAAGGCAUUGCCAACUGUUUUGUGGUAUGUAACCACUGUCCUAU
Molecule: small nuclear RNA, 125 nt
Organism: Phodopus roborovskii (desert hamster)
Lineage: Eukaryota; Metazoa; Chordata; Mammalia; Rodentia; Cricetidae
Source: RefSeq, a predicted model, not a curated record